GUGAGACAUCGAGUCGUGACCACAAUACCACAUUCUGCGUAACAGGACCUUUUUCUCACUCAUAAUAUUGACUCUGAUAAUGUUUUCAUCACUAUGUGGCAACUGCGGAUCAGAUGAACAGCAUUCUGCACAGACCAAAUACACGGCAGCUCCUGCGAAUCCACCCAGAAAAUCAAAUCGAAAGAGCCGACUCCCAACUGGACAACCUGCAUGACUUCACAUCACUCAAUUGACAUAAAUUGUGCAAUAGAGUAGUUUCUGCUCCAGGCGGACAGGCAGCUGGCUGGAGGGGAUGAGAGACGGAGAGAGGAGUGUAU
This is a long non-coding RNA of Micropterus dolomieu (smallmouth bass), 317 nucleotides long. RefSeq lists it as uncharacterized. NCBI's taxonomy places the organism in Eukaryota, Metazoa, Chordata, Actinopteri, Centrarchiformes, Centrarchidae. The transcript has 3 exons. The record is from RefSeq and is a predicted model, not a curated record.